This 624-nucleotide ribosomal RNA is filed under the name Triticum aestivum (bread wheat). Its description in RNAcentral is "partial small subunit ribosomal RNA". Lineage: Eukaryota; Viridiplantae; Streptophyta; Magnoliopsida; Poales; Poaceae. The record is from RNAcentral.
AUGAAGGAUCUAGGAGUAGCUGAUGUUAUCUUAAACAUCAAGCUGUUGAGAGAUGAGAAUGGUGGGAUCACACUGCUUCAGUCUCACUAUGUGGAAAAGGUCUUGAGUCGUUUUGGGUAUAGCGACUGCACACCUUCUCCAACUCCAUAUGAUGCUAGUGUGUUGCUUCGAAAGAAUCGACAGAUUGCUAGAGAUCAACUAAGGUAUUCUCAGAUUAUUGGCUCGCUUAUGUAUUUGGCGAGUGCCACGAGGCCUGACAUCUCUUUUGCUGUGACUUGGAGAGUUAUGCGCUAUUUGAAAGGCACCGCGAGCUAUGGGAUUCACUACACCGGGUAUCCAAGGGUACUGGAAGGUUACAGUGACUCAAACUGGAUUUCUGAUCCUGAUGAGAUAAAGGCCACAAGUGGUUAUGUUUUUACACUUGCUGUGAUCGUCAAGAUAAACAGUUCGAAGGAGAAUAUGAAGUCCUCAAGACAUGUGAAGAGGAGACUAAAAUCUGUCAGAAAAUUGAGGAACUCCGGAGUUAUUAUGUUGGAUUAUAUCCAAACGUUGAUACUUAUCUUAAUGUGUUCCAAGUGGCUUAUUCGGGUAAGCAGAGAUGUUGUCCUGCAGAACAUCUUCUGA